AUUCAGCUGACGAGUCCCGAAUAAGACGAAACACCCUUCCUGAAA
This is a non-coding RNA of Schistosoma haematobium, 45 nucleotides long. Lineage: Eukaryota; Metazoa; Platyhelminthes; Trematoda; Strigeidida; Schistosomatidae. The record is from Rfam.